CCUANGGGUGGCAGCAACUAGGAAUCAUGCGCAAUGGACGAAAGUCUGACGCUGCGACACCGCGUGGAGGAUGAAGGCCUUCGGGUCGUAAACUCCUUUUACCUCGCCAUACGGCGGGAAGAAUAAGCACCUGCAAACUACGUGCCAGAAGCCUCGGUAAUACGUAGGGUGCAAGCGUUAUCCAGAUUUAUUGGGCGUAAAGAGUUUCGUAGGCGAUUUGUUAAGUUUUUGGUUAAAGCCCAAAGCUCAACUUUGGACAAGCCAAAAAAACUAACAAAAUGGAGAGUAUCAGAGGGUGAUGGAACACUUAGUGUAGGGGUGAAAUCCGUUGAUAUUAAGUGGAAUACCAAGGGCGAAGGCGAUCACCUGGGAUACUUCUGACGCUGAUGAACGAAAGCUAGGGGAGCAAAGCGGAUUAGAUACCCUUNUANUC
This 433-nucleotide ribosomal RNA is filed under the name uncultured bacterium. Its description in RNAcentral is "bacterial SSU rRNA". It matches the Rfam family "Bacterial small subunit ribosomal RNA", at positions 338 to 795 of the family's 1533-position model. The record is from RNAcentral.